This 497-nucleotide ribosomal RNA is filed under the name uncultured bacterium. RNAcentral's name for it is "partial 16S ribosomal RNA". It matches the Rfam family "Bacterial small subunit ribosomal RNA", at positions 28 to 507 of the family's 1533-position model. The record is from RNAcentral.
GAUGAACGCUGGCGGCGUGCCUAAUACAUGCAAGUCGAGCGAACAGAUGAGGAGCUUGCUCCUCUGACGUUAGCGGCGGACGGGUGAGUAACACGUGGAUAACCUACCUAUAAGACUGGGAUAACUUCGGGAAACCGGAGCUAAUACCGGAUAAUAUAUUGAACCGCAUGGUUCAAUAGUGAAAGACGGUUUUGCUGUCACUUAUAGAUGGAUCCGCGCCGCAUUAGCUAGUUGGUAAGGUAACGGCUUACCAAGGCAACGAUGCGUAGCCGACCUGAGAGGGUGAUCGGCCACACUGGAACUGAGACACGGUCCAGACUCCUACGGGAGGCAGCAGUAGGGAAUCUUCCGCAAUGGGCGAAAGCUUGACGGAGCAACGCCGCGUGAGUGAUGAAGGUCUUCGGAUCGUAAAACUCUGUUAUUAGGGAAGAACAGAUGUGUAAGUAACUAUGCACGUCUUGACGGUACCUAAUCAGAAAGCCACGGCUAACUACGUG